ACUAGACUCCAUCCAAGUUUCUAUAGUGGUCAACCACCUUUCGAAUUUCAUCCGAGCUUCUACAGUAAGUGAAUUCUGUCCGAACUUCUAUUGCAAGCGAACUUCAUCCGAGUUUCUACAGUAAGUGGACUUCAUCCGAGCUUCUACAAUAAGUGGUCUCCAUCCAGGCUUCCAAUGCAAUCGAUCUCCAUCCGAGCUUCCACAGUAAGUGGCCUCC
Molecule: long non-coding RNA, 217 nt
Filed under: Elaeis guineensis (African oil palm)
Lineage: Eukaryota; Viridiplantae; Streptophyta; Magnoliopsida; Arecales; Arecaceae
Description: long non-coding RNA (EGUI_LNC071923)
Source: RNAcentral